AGUGAACGCUGGCGGUAGGCCUAACACAUGCAAGUCGAACGGCAGCACAGUAAGAGCUUGCUCUUACGGGUGGCGAGUGGCGGACGGGUGAGGAAUACAUCGGAAUCUACUUUUUCGUGGGGGAUAACGUAGGGAAACUUACGCUAAUACCUCAUACGACCUACGGGUGAAAGCAGGGGAUCUUCGGACCUUGCGCGAUUGAAUUAGCCGAUGUCGGAUUACCUAGUUGGCGGGGUAAAGGCCCACCAAGGCGACGAUCCGUAGCUGGUCUGAGAGGAUGAUCAGCCACACUGGAACUGAGACACGGUCCAGACUCCUACGGGAGGCAGCAGUGGGGAAUAUUGGACAAUGGGCGCAAGCCUGAGCCAGCCAUACCGCGUGGGUGAAGAAGGCCUUCGGGUUGUAAAGCCCUUUUGUUGGGAAAGAAAAGCAGCAGGUUAAUACCCCGCUGUUCUGACGGUACCCAAAGAAUAAGCACCGGCUAACUUCGU
This 491-nucleotide ribosomal RNA is filed under the name uncultured bacterium. Its description in RNAcentral is "partial 16S ribosomal RNA". It matches the Rfam family "Bacterial small subunit ribosomal RNA", at positions 29 to 506 of the family's 1533-position model. The record is from RNAcentral.